GCUUGUCUCAAAGAUUAAGCCAUGCACGUCUAAGUAUAAAUUGCUUAUACUAUGGAACUACGAAUGGCUCAUUAAAUCAUUAAUAGUAAAUUUGAUGGUACCUACCACUCGGAUAAGCGUAGUAAUUCUAGAGCUAAUACGUGCGUAAAUCCCGACUCAUGGAAGGGACGUAUUUUUUUGAUUUAAGGCCAACCGAGCUUGCUCGUCUCUUGGUGAAUUAUGAUAAUUUCACGAAUCGCAUGACCUCGCGCCGGCGACUUUUCAUUCAAAUUUCUGCCCUAUCAAUUGGCGAUGGUAGAAUAGAGGCCUACCAUGGUGUUAACGGGUGACGGGGGAUCAGGGUUCGAUUCCGGAGAGGCAGCUUGAGAAACGGCUACCACAUCCAAGGAAGGCAGCAGG
RNAcentral lists this ribosomal RNA (399 nucleotides) under Tetraselmis cordiformis. RNAcentral's name for it is "partial small subunit ribosomal RNA". It matches the Rfam family "Eukaryotic small subunit ribosomal RNA", at positions 30 to 432 of the family's 1831-position model. The record is from RNAcentral. Lineage: Eukaryota; Viridiplantae; Chlorophyta; Chlorodendrophyceae; Chlorodendrales; Chlorodendraceae.